This 332-nucleotide ribosomal RNA is filed under the name uncultured bacterium. RNAcentral's name for it is "bacterial SSU rRNA". It matches the Rfam family "Bacterial small subunit ribosomal RNA", at positions 568 to 898 of the family's 1533-position model. The record is from RNAcentral.
AGCGUAGGCGGGGGAAUAAGUUAGAAGUUUAAUGUAUGGGCUUAACCCAUAAUCUGCUUCUAAUACUGUUUCCCUUGAGUAUGGGAGAGGGAGAUGGAAUUCCAGGUGUAGCGGUGGAAUGCGUAGAUAUCUGGAAGAACACCAGCUGCGAAGGCGGUCUCCUGGCCCAAUACUGACGCUGAGGCUCGAAAGCUAGGGGAGCAAACAGGAUUAGAUACCCUGGUAGUCCUAGCUGUAAACGAUGGACACUAGAUGCUGGAGGAGUCAAUCCUUUCGGUGUCGUAGCUAACGCGUUAAGUGUCCCGCCUGGGGAGUACGCUCGCAAGGGUGAA